This 1042-nucleotide ribosomal RNA is filed under the name uncultured Bacillota bacterium. Its description in RNAcentral is "bacterial SSU rRNA". It matches the Rfam family "Bacterial small subunit ribosomal RNA", at positions 336 to 1397 of the family's 1533-position model. Lineage: Bacteria; Bacillati; Bacillota. The record is from RNAcentral.
CUCCUACGGGAGGCAGCAGUGGGGAAUAUUGCACAAUGGGGGAAACCCUGAUGCAGCGAUGCCGCGUGGAGGAAGAAGGUUUUCGGAUUGUAAACUCCUGUUAACGGGGACGAUAAUGACGGUACCCGAAUAGAAAGCUCCGGCUAACUACGUGCCAGCAGCCGCGGUAAUACGUAGGGAGCGAGCGUUGUCCGGAAUUACUGGGUGUAAAGGGAGCGUAGGCGGGAUGGUAAGUCAGAUGUGAAAACUAUGGGCUCAACCCAUAGACUGCAUUUGAAACUGCUGUUCUUGAGUGAAGUAGAGGCAAGCGGAAUUCCUAGUGUAGCGGUGAAAUGCGUAGAUAUUAGGAGGAGCACCAGUGGCGAAGGCGACUUACUGGACUGUAACUGACAUUGAAGCACGAAAGUGUGGGGAGCAAACAGGAUUAGAUACCCUGGUAGUCCACACUGUAAACGAUGGAUACUAGGUGUAGGGAGGGAUUCCUUUCUGUGCCGAACGCUAACGCAAUAAGUAUCCCACCUGGGGAGUACGACCGCAAGGUUGAAACUCAAAGGAAUUGACGGGGGCCCGCACAAGCAGUGGAGUAUGUGGUUUAAUUCGAAGCAACGCGAAGAAUCUUACCAAGGUUUGACAUGCAGAUGAAUAUAUAAGAGAUUAUAUAGUCCUUCGGGACGUCUGUGCAGGUGGUGCAUGGUUGUCGUCAGCUCGUGUCGUGAGAUGUUGGGUUAAGUCCCGCAACGAGCGCAACCCCUGUGAUUAGUUGCCAGCACGUAAUGGUGGGAACUCUAAUCAGACUGCCGUGAAUAACGCGGAGGAAGGUGGGGAUGACGUCAAAUCAUCAUGCCCUAUAUAUCUUGGGCUACACACGUACUACAAUGGCCGUAACAGAGGGAAGCAAUGUAGUAAUACAAAGCAAAACCCAAAAAUCGGUCUCAGUUCGGAUUGAGGACUGAAAUUCGUCCUCAUGAAGCCGGAAUUGCUAGUAAUGGCAGGUCAGCAUACUGCCGUGAAUACGUUCCCGGGCCUUGUACACACCGCCCGU